GACGAACCGUGCGAACGUUGUUCGGAUUCACUGGGCUUAAAGGGCGCGUAGGCGGGCGACCAAGUCAGGGGUGAAAUCUUUCGGCUCAACCGGAAAACUGCCCCUGAUACUGGCCGUCUUGAGGGAGGUAGGGGUCUGUGGAACUUCUGGUGGAGCGGUGAAAUGCGUAGAUAUCAGAAGGAACGCCGGUGGCGAAAGCGACGGACUGGACCUUCUCUGACGCUGAGGCGCGAAAGCUAGGGUAGCGAACGGG
RNAcentral lists this ribosomal RNA (253 nucleotides) under uncultured bacterium. RNAcentral's name for it is "partial 16S ribosomal RNA". It matches the Rfam family "Bacterial small subunit ribosomal RNA", at positions 524 to 776 of the family's 1533-position model. The record is from RNAcentral.